UAGGGAAUCUUCGGCAAUGGACGAAAGUCUGACCGAGCAACGCCGCGUGAGUGAAGAAGGUUUUCGGAUCGUAAAACUCUGUUGUUAGAGAAGAACAAGGACGUUAGUAACUGAACGUCCCCUGACGGUAUCUAACCAGAAAGCCACGGCUAACUACGUGCCAGCAGCCGCGGUAAUACGUAGGUGGCAAGCGUUGUCCGGAUUUAUUGGGCGUAAAGCGAGCGCAGGCGGUUUCUUAAGUCUGAUGUGAAAGCCCCCGGCUCAACCGGGGAGGGUCAUUGGGAACUGGGAGACUUGAGUGCAGAAGAGGGGAGUGGAAUUCCAUGUGUAGCGGUGAAAUGCGUAGAUAUAUGGAGGAACACCGGUGGCGAAGGCGGCUCUCUGGUCUGUAACUGACGCUGAGACUCGAAAGCGUGGGGAGCAAACAAG
This 429-nucleotide ribosomal RNA is filed under the name Gemmatimonadota bacterium. Its description in RNAcentral is "Gemmatimonadetes bacterium partial 16S ribosomal RNA". It matches the Rfam family "Bacterial small subunit ribosomal RNA", at positions 355 to 776 of the family's 1533-position model. The record is from RNAcentral. Lineage: Bacteria; Pseudomonadati; Gemmatimonadota.